GAUCCUGGCUCAGGAUGAACGCUGGCGGCGUGCUUAACACAUGCAAGUCGAACGAAGCACCUUGAUUUGAUUCUUCGGAUGAAGAUCCUGGUGACUGAGUGGCGGACGGGUGAGUAACGCGUGGGUAACCUGCCUCAUACAGGGGGAUAACAGUUAGAAAUGACUGCUAAUACCGCAUAAGACCACAGCACCGCAUGGUGCAGGGGUAAAAACUACGGUGGUAUGAGAUGGACCCG
This 236-nucleotide ribosomal RNA is filed under the name uncultured bacterium. RNAcentral describes it as "partial 16S ribosomal RNA". It matches the Rfam family "Bacterial small subunit ribosomal RNA", at positions 15 to 233 of the family's 1533-position model. The record is from RNAcentral.